This 1469-nucleotide ribosomal RNA is filed under the name Staphylococcus aureus. RNAcentral describes it as "bacterial SSU rRNA". It matches the Rfam family "Bacterial small subunit ribosomal RNA". Lineage: Bacteria; Bacillati; Bacillota; Bacilli; Caryophanales; Staphylococcaceae. The record is from RNAcentral.
GGGAGUGGCGCUGCUAUACAUGCAAGUCGAGCGAACGGACGAGAAGCUUGCUUCUCUGAUGUUAGCGGCGGACGGGUGAGUAACACGUGGAUAACCUACCUAUAAGACUGGGAUAACUUCGGGAAACCGGAGCUAAUACCGGAUAAUAUUUUGAACCGCAUGGUUCAAAAGUGAAAGACGGUCUUGCUGUCACUUAUAGAUGGAUCCGCGCUGCAUUAGCUAGUUGGUAAGGUAACGGCUUACCAAGGCAACGAUGCAUAGCCGACCUGAGAGGGUGAUCGGCCACACUGGAACUGAGACACGGUCCAAGACUCCCUACGGGAGGCAGCAGUAGGGAAUCCUUCCGCCAAUGGGCGAAAGCCUGACGGAGCAACGCCGCGUGAGUGAUGAAGGUCUUCGGAUCGUAAAACUCUGUUAUUAGGGAAGAACAUAUGUGUAAGUAACUGUGCACAUCUUGACGGUACCUAAUCAGAAAGCCACGGCUAACUACGUGCCAGCAGCCGCGGUAAUACGUAGGUGGCAAGCGUUAUCCGGGAAUUAUUGGGCGUAAAGCGCGCGUAGGCGGUUUUUUAAGUCUGAUGUGAAAGCCCACGGCUCAACCGUGGAGGGUCAUUGGAAACUGGAAAACUUGAGUGCAGAAGAGGAAAGUGGAAUUCCAUGUGUAGCGGUGAAAUGCGCAGAGAUAUGGAGGAACACCAGUGGCGAAGGCGACUUUCUGGUCUGUAACUGACGCUGAUGUGCGAAAGCGUGGGGAUCAAACAGGAUUAGAUACCCUGGUAGUCCACGCCGUAAACGAUGAGUGCUAAGUGUUAGGGGGUUUCCGCCCCUUAGUGCUGCAGCUAACGCAUUAAGCACUCCGCCUGGGGAGUACGACCGCAAGGUUGAAACUCAAAGGAAUUGACGGGGACCCGCACAAGCGGUGGAGCAUGUGGUUUAAUUCGAAGCAACGCGAAGAACCUUACCAAAUCUUGACAUCCUUUGACAACUCUAGAGAUAGAGCCUUCCCCUUCGGGGGACAAAGUGACAGGUGGUGCAUGGUUGUCGUCAGCUCGUGUCGUGAGAUGUUGGGUUAAGUCCCGCAACGAGCGCAACCCUUAAGCUUAGUUGCCAUCAUUAAGUUGGGCACUCUAAGUUGACUGCCGGUGACAAACCGGAGGAAGGUGGGGAUGACGUCAAAUCAUCAUGCCCCUUAUGAUUUGGGCUACACACGGUGCUACAAUGGACAAUACCAAAGGGCAAGCCGGAAACCGCGAGGGUUCACAGCAAAUCCCAUAAAGUUGUUCUCAGUUCGGAUUGUAGUCUGCAACUCGACUACAUGAAGCUGGAAUCGCUAGUAAUCGUAGAUCAGCAUGCUACGGUGAAUACGUUCCCGGGUCUUGUACACACCGCCCGUCACACCACGAGAGUUUGUAACACCCGAAGCCGGUGGAGUAACCUUUUAGGAGCUAGCCGUCGAAGUGACAGAUUUU